AAAUAAAACAAAACUGGGGAUAGUAGUAAUAUGCACUUCAUAGGAUUAUUGAGGGUAUUAAAUGAGUUAAUCUACAUAAAGUAUUUAGAAUAAUACAUGGCAUGUAGUAAGCACUGUAUAUGUGUUUGCUGUUACUACCAUUAUUACUUUUGCGACGAGGGGAUUGAAGGAAGAAGAGCUUCUAUGCUGCAAUGGGGAAAGGAGUAUAUCCUGCCCUGUGUGUUCCCCUAAUAUCUUGGAUAUAAAAGCCAUCCACAAAAAACACAGGGUCAGGAAUUUGAAGGUGUUAUUUGGGCAUCUUAGAGUGUGGGAUAUCAAGUAGGCAGUCAGAAUGGGAUAGAAUUCUUCAGUGGGAAGUAUUGGAUAUUUCCUUUUUGGAGCAGAGCAGUACCAUAUGGGGGAACAGUGACAGAGGGAUAAUCUAGGGUCAGGGGAUUUCUUAAGCAGUUAAUAAUGCUUUUUCUCUUAGGAACUAACCUGUCAGGUACUGAGAGGCUUUGAAGAUGGCUCUUCAGGUUGGGGACACACCUUUAUUAAGGGGCAAGACUGCUGCCAGGAGUUGAUUCACAUACUCAGAGGUAGGAUUGACCACACAAAAAAAAUGCUUUCAAGUCUUUGUUCUAAAUUUUCUUUGACCCUCCGUAAGUUUGGGGAAAGUCCCAGCCUCAGUAACCACCUCAGUAACCAUCCCAGACACAGUCUAGAGGAUAUGAACAGGCAGAGUGGGUCAUGUGGAAAACAGGCGCGUGGUGGGGAGGCCAAUUUGAGGAGCCAUUAGUAUUAAAAUGGAAAGUUCAAGAGAUACAAAAAUUAUAAACAAAACUUUAUCAAAUCAAAUCCAAUAAUGUAUUAAAAGGAUAAUGAAUCAUAACAAAAUGGAUUUUAUCCCAGGAAUGCAGGAUUGGCUUGGCAUUAGAAAAUCAAUCAUGCAGUUCAACAUAUUAACAAACCAAAAAGGAAAACCCAUAUGAUUAUUGCAAUAAAUGCAGAAAAAGCAUUUGACAACAUCUAACAUCCAUUCCUGAGUUUAAAAAACAAAAACCUCUUGGCAAACUAGAAGUAGAAGGGAACUUCUUCAACCUGAUAUAGGGCAUCUGCAAAAUAACCCACAGCUAACAUUAUAUUUAGUGGUGAAAACUGAGUGCUUUCCCCCACAAGAUCAGAAAUCAAACAGAGAUGUCCACUCUCACCACUUCUAUUCAGCAUUAUACUGAAGGUUCUAGGCAGUGCAGUCAGGCAAGAAAAAGAAGCAAAAGGCAUCCAAAUUGGAAAGGAAGAAGUAAAACUGUAUUUACAGAAAAUGUGAUCAUCUAUAUAGAAAAUCCAACUGAGUCCACCAAAAAUAAAACCCUACUAGAACUAAUAAGUGAGUCUAACAAGUUGCAGGUUAUAAGAUCAAUAUACAAAAAUUAGUUGUAUAUCUAUAUACUAGCAAUGAACAAUUGGAUACAGAAAGUUUUAAAAUACCAUUUACAAUAACAUCUAAAAAUAUGACUUAGGAAUAAAUCUGACAAAAGAUGUGGAAGACCUAUACACUUGUAUUGCUGAGAGAAAGAGGAGCCAAAUCAAUGAAAAACAUUCAUAGGUUGGAAAACUUAGUAUUGUUAUGAUGUCAAUUCUCCCCAAAUUGAUCCAUAGAUUAAAUGUAAUUCCUAUAAAAAUCUCAGCAGGCUUUUUGCCGAAAUUUACAAACUGAUCCUAAAAUUCAUAUGGAAAGGCACUACAGAGCCUGGUACAGUGUGUAGAAACCCUGGGUAGGGUUCAGCUUUCCCACAGGAUUAGGACUAUCAGUGGAGCACAUGUAGAGAGGAAAAACAGUGACAGGGCCUCCAGUUGCAAACAGGUCUACAAAGAAUAUGAACAAGCAAUUUCCUGAAGUGGAAAACCCAAAAAGCUAACAGGCCUAAUAAAAGAUGUUCAGAUGUAUUAACAGAAAAGUCUAAAAUAAAACUACAGUGAGAUUUUACUUUAGGUUUCACAAACAGACAAAAUUUUAAAAAGCUGGAUCAUGCCAAGUCCUUUAGUGGGGAUAUGGGGGCAUAGGGACCCUCUUGCAUUGGGAUUGGGGACUUUGGCCGCCAUCCCAGAGAUGAAUGUGGCACUAUCCCCAUGGGCCCUCCAAAGAAAUUCUCAUACAGGUCCAUAAAGGGUCAUGUAGAAGAAUGUGCAUUAUGGUGUAGUUUGCAACAGUGGGAAGUUGAAGGCAUGCUGGGUGUCCAUCACCAGGGGCAUACACAGGGAAAUAGUGAUGGGUGCACUCCACAGAGGACCUCUUAACCUUUAGACCAGUGAGUUAGAUGUACACAGGGCAACACGAUGAUCUUCAACACGUAGCACUGAGUGAAAAAGAAUGAACUGUAUAACAAUACUACUCACAAGUUACAAAUAUAUGCACAUAUACACCAAAUACACACCUUACAGAAAUGCACACAAAAGGAUGUAAGUUAAACACAUUUGAAAAAUGCCUGUGUCGGGGAGUCGGGAGGAAUGGGAGCAUGGAUGACAGGGAAUACAUAAAACAAGAAAGCGGUGGAAUUGCCAGUCACGGUGGCUCACACCUGUAAUCCCAGCACUUCGAAAGGCCGAGGCGGGAAGAUUGCUUGAGCCUAGGAGUUCAGUUCCAGCCCGAGCAACAUAGUGAGUCCUCAUCUCUACAAGAAAUACAAAAUUAGCCAAAUGUGGUGGUGUGUGCCUGUGGUCCCAGCUACCAGAGAGGCUGAGGUGGGAGGAUUGCUUGAGCCCAGGAGUCUGAGACUGCAGUGAACCGAGAUUGUACCGCUGCACUCCAGCCUGGGUGACAGAGUGAGACCUUGUCAAAAAAAAAAAAGAAAGAAAGGGGGAGGAGAAAAAACAAGCAGAAAGUGUCUGUUCCCUUGGCCUAGUCACCCACUCCCCAUGGCAUCAUCCUUUAGAGUCUGCUCUUCACUGAGGAGGAAACAGCCACACCUACACUCUGCUAACCUGAGGCCAGAAUGCCCAGGUGAGCCUGGCGCAGACGGUCUGUACUUGGCUGGUUUUGAGUAUGUGCUGGUGCGGCUCCUGCACACCCUCUCACCAGCACUGCAGCUGCCUGGAGCAGGUGUGGACAUGCAUUUCACCACACAGAAGUUGCCUGCUGUGAUCUACUAUUGAGGGUGGGGGCUGGUCACAGAGUUUGGAAGUGAAGAGUUAGAGCGGCCCAUUCCCUGUCAAACCAUAUGGUAACCAGACCAUAUGGUAACUAAUUUCUGGUCCACAUAACAGCCCUGCCAGUGCCCUGACUAUGCUGAGACAUGGGUGUAUUUUCCUGGCCUCAUUUAUAACCGUACCCUCUGACUUCCCCAGAAGCAGCUCUUGUAAACUCUUAGGGAAACUGAAGCCAGACUCACUAUGACUGAGAGAUUCUCUCCAGCUUAUCCUCUCCUGGAACUCUUCACCUAAUUGUAGCAAUACUGCUCCUUCCAUAACCAGCUUAGCUUCCAUAACCAGCAAAACAAAACAAUACCUUGUUCAGUGAUACAUACAUGGGAGGUGAAAUUUUCUCAAAAGCAGGCCAGGCACAGUGACUCACGCCUAUAAUCCCAGCACUUUGGGAGGCCGAGGUGAGUGGAUCACCUGAGGUCAGGAGUUCGAGACCAGCCUGGCCAACAUGGAGAAAUCCCGUAUCUACUAAAAAUACAAAAAUUAGCCGGACGUGGUGGCAUGUGCCUGUAAUGUCAGCUGCUCGGGAGACUGAGGCAGGAGAAUCACUUGAACCCAGGAGGUGGGGGUUGCAAUGAGCUGAGAUCGUGCCACUGCACUCCAGCCUGGGCAACAAAAGUGAAACUCUGUCUCAAAAAAAAAAAAAAUUUUUCCGCAAAAAUCGAGGAAAUGAGAACAUAAAGGUCAAGGUAGUGGUUUCUUCUGGGCAGGGGAAGGAGAUGAGGGAUCCACAGUUGGCUUCUCAAACUCUAUAAUGUUCUAGUUCUUAAGCCAGCUGGUGGGUAGAUGGGUGUCUCUAGCCUGGGCAACAAAAGCGAAACUCCAUCUCAAAAUAAGUAAAAUAAAAUUAUUUUGAAAUUAUAUUUGAACAGUGUGGUGUUUCACACAGUUCCCUCUUUGAACGUCUUGGUCCAGUGCAAGAUCUAGUGCAUGGCUCCUACUACCAGAGAGGGGCUGUGUGGGGGCUGCAGUAUACAGCACUUCUCUGACCUUCUGUGGGAAUCAUUCGACUUAACCUGAUUUUUGCCUUCCUCCUGCUCAUCAUGAUACUUUGUUGGUGUGCAUAUGUGUAGUAUUUAAAUACUUUAUUAGAUUCAAUCUGCUCUUUUCACAAUUUUUUCUGGUAACAUGGAAGCUAUAUCUUUUAUUAUCAGAAUCAGCAUCUAUUAUUAGGUGCUGCUUUAAAGGAACAUAACUGAUUUCAUUUUCUUAGUUGUUAUUCCCCCAUUGUUUUACCUUCCCUCCCUCCCUUCCUCUUUCCUUUUUUCUUUCUCUCUGUCCCUCAUUCUUUCUUGCUCUCACUCUCCCUCUCCAGUUGCUCCUUCUCCCACUCUCUAUUAUUGGAUUUUUUUUUAACGGCAGCACUUUUAUUUUUCCUUACACAAUGACGUGUUGCUGGGGCCUAAUGUUCUCACAUGACGGUAGAAAACCAAAAUUUGUUGUCAUCUCUUUAAAGAAUUUAGAAUUAUGUAGAAAAAAACCUUACAUAAAUUAAAAGGAUGAAUAUAUUUACAGGUGUAAAUCCAAACCGCUUCCAACUCAAGGCAAGUAACAGCCCACGGUGUUCUGGCAGGAAAACAUCAGCUAAGAAAGGAAACUGGGUCCUAUGGCUUGGACUUUCCAACUCUGACAGACCGGCAGGACAGAAACAACUGGUUCAGGAGCCCUUGCCAGCCUCUAGAGAAAUCCCAGAACACUCAGCCCUGAUGACACAUUAAUACCCUGCACAUAUUGGAGACUGCUGACCACGCAUACUCACCAAGCCACAGACUUGUCUUCCACAAGCACGUUCUUACCUCAGCCACAAAGUGCCCAAGCCACAUGUACUAAAGGUUGAAAUCAGAGACAUGUACAGGGUAUUAAACAGAUACCAAGGGGAACAGUUAACUUGAAUAUAGCUUGAAUAGAAAGUCAAAAUCAGCAACAAGUCUACAAUCCAGUGCUGAUAUCAGAUACAAGCUUCAAGGACAACUUUCUGUGUAUGUUUUUUUUUUUUUUUUUGAGACGUAGUCUCGCCCUGUU
This 5202-nucleotide long non-coding RNA is filed under the name Homo sapiens (human). RNAcentral's name for it is "non-protein coding lnc-KANTR-23:23". Lineage: Eukaryota; Metazoa; Chordata; Mammalia; Primates; Hominidae. The record is from RNAcentral.